Molecule: ribosomal RNA, 497 nt
Filed under: uncultured bacterium
Lineage: Bacteria
Description: partial 16S ribosomal RNA
Rfam family: Bacterial small subunit ribosomal RNA
Source: RNAcentral
GAUGAACGCUGGCGGCGUGCCUAAUACAUGCAAGUCGAGCGAACGGACGAGAAGCUUGCUUCUCUGAUGUUAGCGGCGGACGGGUGAGUAACACGUGGAUAACCUACCUAUAAGACUGGGAUAACUUCGGGAAACCGGGGCUAAUACCGGAUAAUAUUUUGAACCGCAUGGUUCAAAAGUGAAAGACGGUCUUGCUGUCACUUAUAGAUGGAUCCGCGCUGCAUUAGCUAGUUGGUAAGGUAACGGCUUACCAAGGCAACGAUGCAUAGCCGACCUGAGAGGGUGAUCGGCCACACUGGAACGGAGCCGCGGUCCAGACUCCUACGGGAGGCAGCAGUAGGGAAUCUUCCGCAAUGGGCGAAAGCCUGACGGAGCAACGCCGCGUGAGUGAUGAAGGUCUUCGGAUCGUAAAACUCUGUUAUUAGGGAAGAACAUAUGUGUAAGUAACUGUGCACAUCUUGACGGUACCUAAUCAGAAAGCCACGGCUAACUACGUG